CAUGCAGGUGGUCGGACGCGUUUUGUGUGACAGCGGGUGGCUUAACUACCCGAGUAUGCGAAAGACGGUCUGACUUGAGGACUCGAGAGGGACACGGAAUUCCGGGUGGAGUGGUGAAAUGCGUAGAGAUCCGGAGGAACACCGAAGGCGAAGGCAGUGUCCUGGCGAGUGACUGACGCUGAGGUGCGAAAGCCAGGGGAGCGAACGGGAUUAGAUACCCUGGUAGUCCACGCCCUAAACGAUGCAUAUUUGGUGUGGGCAGUUCAUUCUGUCCGUGCCGGAGCUAACGCGUUAAAUAUGCCGCCUGGGGAGUACAGUCGCAAGGCUGAA
Molecule: ribosomal RNA, 330 nt
Filed under: uncultured bacterium
Lineage: Bacteria
Description: bacterial SSU rRNA
Rfam family: Bacterial small subunit ribosomal RNA
Source: RNAcentral